Molecule: ribosomal RNA, 459 nt
Filed under: Corynebacterium durum
Lineage: Bacteria; Bacillati; Actinomycetota; Actinomycetes; Mycobacteriales; Corynebacteriaceae
Description: bacterial SSU rRNA
Rfam family: Bacterial small subunit ribosomal RNA
Source: RNAcentral
GACGAACGCGGCGGCGUGCUUAACACAUGCAAGUCGAACGGAAAGGCCCACCACCUUUGGUGGUGGGUACUCGAGUGGCGAACGGGUGAGUAACACGUGGGUGAUCUGCCCUGCACUGUGGGAUAAGCCUGGGAAACUGGGUCUAAUACCACAUACGACCAUGACAUAGGGGUCAUGGUGGAAAGCUUUAUUGCGGUGUGGGAUGAGCCCGCGGCCUAUCAGCUUGUUGGUGGGGUAAUGGCCUACCAAGGCGGCGACGGGUAGCCGGCCUGAGAGGGUGGACGGCCACAUUGGGACUGAGACACGGCCCAGACUCCUACGGGAGGCAGCAGUGGGGAAUAUUGCACAAUGGGCGCAAGCCUGAUGCAGCGACGCCGCGUGGGGGAUGACGGCCUUCGGGUUGUAAACUCCUUCGCCCGGGACGAAAGCCCAACCUGGUGGGUGAACGGUACCGGGAAA